RNAcentral lists this ribosomal RNA (467 nucleotides) under uncultured bacterium. RNAcentral's name for it is "partial 16S ribosomal RNA". It matches the Rfam family "Bacterial small subunit ribosomal RNA", at positions 29 to 507 of the family's 1533-position model. The record is from RNAcentral.
ACGAACGCUUGCGGCGUGCUUCACCCAUGCCAGUCGCACGGAAAGGCCCUGCUUUUGUGGGGUGCUCGAGUGGCGAACGGGUGAGUAACACGUGAGUAACCUGCCCUUGACUUUGGGAUAACUUCAGGAAACUGGGGCUAAUACCGGAUAGGAGCUCCUGCUGCAUGGUGGGGGUUGGAAAGUUUCGGCGGUUGGGGAUGGACUCGCGGCUUAUCAGCUUGUUGGUGGGGUAGUGGCUUACCAAGGCUUUGACGGGUAGCCGGCCUGAGAGGGUGACCGGCCACAUUGGGACUGAGAUACGGCCCAGACUCCUACGGGAGGCAGCAGUGGGGAAUAUUGCACAAUGGGCGGAAGCCUGAUGCAGCAACGCCGCGUGCGGGAUGACGGCCUUCGGGUUGUAAACCGCUUUCGCCUGUGACGAAGCGUGAGUGACGGUAAUGGGUAAAGAAGCACCGGCUAACUACGUG